GGGCGAUUAGCUCAGCGGGAGAGCACUGCCUUCACACGGCAGGGGUCACUGGUUCAAUCCCAGUAUCGCCCACCA
RNAcentral lists this transfer RNA (75 nucleotides) under Nitrosococcus oceani. RNAcentral's name for it is "tRNA-Val". It matches the Rfam family "tRNA". Rfam says of the family: Transfer RNA (tRNA) molecules are approximately 80 nucleotides in length. Lineage: Bacteria; Pseudomonadati; Pseudomonadota; Gammaproteobacteria; Chromatiales; Chromatiaceae. RNAcentral also lists the same sequence under 42 other names. The record is from RNAcentral.